UGCAUAGAAUUUUUAUUGAUAGUGCAUAUUAUUACUAUUUAUAGAUUAUUAAUAGUGUCAUUUGAUUAAUAAGUGUUUGUUUAAUCAUCUAUUAAACAUUGUUAUAUAAAAAUUGAGUAAUUUUUCUAACCUUUUUCGUCGUGCUGCGUUGUUGUUCGUCUUUGGCAAUUAAAAUUACUGGUUAUCGUUCGAUUACCGGCGUAAUUUUGCGACGUAAUAAUUUUGCACACACUGACACGUACACACACAUCUCACACAUGCGCACACGAUGAAAGAUGAUUCGACGACACAGAAUAUGGUUAACAAAGAAUUGCUAGGAUGUCUUUUUAAAAAGAAAGAUGGGAAAAAGAGAUUCUUAUAUGGAUGCCAUAAUGAACAUUUAUACAAUUAUUAAUCUGAUGGUGGAUAUUGUGGUAACAUUUUAUUUGUAUUAUUAUUAUUAUAUUAGUUUUACUAUUUAUAUUUGUUAAGUAAUUCAUAAUUUGUCAAUACACUAAUAAAAUAAAGAUAGAACAGAUUAAAUGAAUUAUAUUCUUAAUGUUAAAUGUUAAAUUAUUUUUUUAUUCCAAAUAGAUUCUUAAUGAGAUAUUUUUUUUGAAAAAUUUUGUAAAAAUUUAACAUUAUUUUUUUUAAACAAAUGCUUGAUAGAAAAGAAAGGAAAAUAUUAAAACAAUAUUUUCCUUUUUUCCCCCAUCCCAACUUUAUUUUCAGAAAAUUUGUAUGAUCGCGCGCAAUGCGGUCGAUAGAGUCAGUGUUUGCUUCGAAUAGUAAUUUCAUUGUUCUUUAGAGCACGAUUGCUCUAACUUAAUUUAAUUGUAAUAUAUUCGUGAAUGUAGAGUCAGUGUUUGUUCGCCGAUUGUAAUUCGAACGAACGCGUUAAUAGUCUUUUAUUUUAUUUUUUUUUCUUUUUAAAUAUUCGUUUCGCGUAUAUAUUAAAGUCAGUGUAUCAAGAGCAUAAGGCGAUCAUCCAUCACGCGAAGAGAUCCUGAUAGUCUUAUUGACUUUUUCUGGGCUUCAACCUCCAAAAAUUUGUGACCGCGCGCAAUGCGGUUAUAGAGUCAGUGUUUGUUACGUAAUAGUAUUUUUAUUAUUUUUUUAGAGCGCAAAAGCUCUAAUUAAAUUUAAUUAUUAUAUUUACACUCGCGAAAAUAAAAUCAGUGUUUGUUCGCCGAUUGAAAAUUAAACGAACGUGCUAUAGUCUUUUAUUUUAUUUUUUUAUGUUUUAAAUAUUCGUUUCGCGUAUAUGUUAGAGUCAGUGCAUCAAGAGAAUAAGGCGAUCAUCCAUCACGCGAAGAGUUUCCACUUCCUUUUACUUGAUGAGAUGACUUCCUAUGGCAAUGCAGAUUCUUCGCAUCUAUGGUGAGUCGCAUGCAUUUUGAUUCCUCCGGUCACUCAAUCAUGUCGUAGGAUGAAAGAUCCGAAUCGACACGGGUGAUUGGUUGUAUACGUAGAAUUUUGCACGAGCACAGUGACCACGGGUAUUUAUUAUACCCGUGAGUAAUAACAUUUUUUUAUUUAUUAGCUUAGGCUAGGUCUUCUUGUACAACGCGCUUCUAAAUAUUAAUGAUUUUCCAAGUUAAUUAUAUAAAGUUCAAUUUAAUAUGGAUAUUUGCAAAAGUCAAAUAUCUAAAUGCAUGUAUUCGUGUAUAAAUUAGUCACGAAUAUUCGAAUAAGUAAUCUUUUCUUUUAUAUUAAAUGAUCGACUUGCUUGAUCUUUUGAAGAUAGUAAAGAUAGUAAAAUUUUAUUUCUUUCGAAAAUAUGUUAAAUUUUACGUACAAGAAGACACUUCGCGACAGGCAGACUUUAAAAUCGAAGCUAUAAAUUUUGAAUAUUUUUUCGAGUUUUCAAAAAUAUGCUUUGAUGGAGGAGUCGCCUGAGGGUAUCUUUAUUAAUAUUUAAAUUUUAAUUAAUUAAUUUAUUGCAUUAUCUCAUUUCUUUAAUAAUAUAUAUAUAUUUUUUGAUUUGCCAUUUCUUUCAUAAAGUAUUAGAAUAUUAAAAAUUUAUUACAAUUUGUUGCAUUGAUAAAAAGUAAAAUAUAGAGUCAUUAAAAUUUAAGAUCAAAUAAGAAUAUAAAAAAUUAAAAUUCAUUAGCCCGUUAGAUAUAAAGUAUUUAUAUUAAUAUAUAUCUUUUUAGCUAGGAUU
Molecule: long non-coding RNA, 2143 nt
Organism: Apis cerana (Asiatic honeybee)
Lineage: Eukaryota; Metazoa; Arthropoda; Insecta; Hymenoptera; Apidae
Source: RefSeq, a predicted model, not a curated record